GACGAACGCUGGCGGCGUGCCUAAUACAUGCAAGUUGAGCGAUGAAGAUUGGUGCUUGCACCAAUUUGAAGAGCAGCGAACGGGUGAGUAACGCGUGGGGAAUCUGCCUUUGAGCGGGGGACAACAUUUGGAAACGAAUGCUAAUACCGCAUAACAACUUUAAACAUAAGUUUUAAGUUUGAAAGAUGCAAUUGCAUCACUCAAAGAUGAUCCCGCGUUGUAUUAGCUAGUUGGUGAGGUAAAGGCUCACCAAGGCGAUGAUACAUAGCCGACCUGAGAGGGUGAUCGGCCACAUUGGGACUGAGACACGGCCCAAACUCCUGCGGGAGGCAGCAGUAGGGAAUCUUCGGCAAUGGACGAAAGUCUGACCGAGCAACGCCGCGUGAGUGAAGAAGGUUUUCGGAUCGUAAAACUCUGUUGGUAGAGAAGAACGUUGGUGAGAGUGGAAAGCUCAUCAAGUGACGGUAACUACCCAGAAAGGGACGGCUAACUACGUA
Molecule: ribosomal RNA, 497 nt
Filed under: uncultured bacterium
Lineage: Bacteria
Description: partial 16S ribosomal RNA
Rfam family: Bacterial small subunit ribosomal RNA
Source: RNAcentral